RNAcentral lists this ribosomal RNA (406 nucleotides) under uncultured Ruminococcus sp. Its description in RNAcentral is "partial 16S ribosomal RNA". It matches the Rfam family "Bacterial small subunit ribosomal RNA", at positions 341 to 764 of the family's 1533-position model. Lineage: Bacteria; Bacillati; Bacillota; Clostridia; Eubacteriales; Oscillospiraceae. The record is from RNAcentral.
ACGGAAGGCAGCAGUGGGGAAUAUUGCACAAUGGGCGCAAGCCUGAUGCAGCGAUGCCGCGUGAGGGAAGAAGGUUUUCGGAUUGUAAACCUCUGUCAACAGGGACGAAAAUGACGGUACCUGUGAAGGAAGCUCCGGCUAACUACGUGCCAGCAGCCGCGGUAAUACGUAGGGAGCAAGCGUUAUCCGGAAUUACUGGGUGUAAAGGGAGUGUAGGCGGGACUGUAAGUCAGAUGUGAAAUAUGCCGGCUCAACUGGCAGACUGCAUUUGAAACUGCGGUUCUUGAGUGAAGUAGAGGUAAGCGGAAUUCCUAGUGUAGCGGUGAAAUGCGUAGAUAUUAGGAGGAACAUCAGUGGCGAAGGCGGCUUACUGGGCUUUAACUGUCGCUGAGGCUCGAAAGCGUGG